RNAcentral lists this ribosomal RNA (334 nucleotides) under Eurycolpus flaveolus. Its description in RNAcentral is "partial 16S ribosomal RNA". Lineage: Eukaryota; Metazoa; Arthropoda; Insecta; Hemiptera; Miridae. The record is from RNAcentral.
UGUCUGGAAUGAAUGGUUGGAUGAAAUGUUUACUUUCUUUAUUUUAAAAUAUUGAAUUUGAUUUUUAUAUUAAAAAGUUUAAAUUUUAUUAUAGGACGAGAAGACCCUAUAGAACUUAAUUUUUUGUAAAAUAAAUAUUUGGUUGUAAAUGAUUUAUAUUUAUUUUAUUAUUAAUUUUGUUGGGGUGACAAAAAAAAUUCUAUAACUUUUUUUCUUUUUUUCAUUUAUUUAUGAAUAUCUGAUCCUUUAUUAUGGAUAUAAGAUUAAGUUACCUUAGGGAUAACAGCGUUAUUAUUUUAGAGAGUUCAUAUCGAUAAAAUAGUUUGCCACCUCG